Molecule: ribosomal RNA, 543 nt
Filed under: uncultured Ideonella sp.
Lineage: Bacteria; Pseudomonadati; Pseudomonadota; Betaproteobacteria; Burkholderiales; Sphaerotilaceae
Description: bacterial SSU rRNA
Rfam family: Bacterial small subunit ribosomal RNA
Source: RNAcentral
GGCGAACGGGUGAGUAAUGCAUCGGAACGUGCCCAGUAGUGGGGGAUAGCCCGGCGAAAGCCGGAUUAAUACCGCAUACGACCUACGGGUGAAAGGGGGAGAUCGCAAGACCUCUCGCUAUUGGAGCGGCCGAUGUCAGAUUAGGUAGUUGGUGGGGUAAAGGCCUACCAAGCCGACGAUCUGUAGCUGGUCUGAGAGGACGACCAGCCACACUGGGACUGAGACACGGCCCAGACUCCUACGGGAGGCAGCAGUGGGGAAUUUUGGACAAUGGGCGCAAGCCUGAUCCAGCCAUGCCGCGUGCGGGAAGAAGGCCUUCGGGUUGUAAACCGCUUUUGUCAGGGAAGAAAUCUUCUGGGUUAAUACCCCGGGAGGAUGACGGUACCUGAAGAAUAAGCACCGGCUAACUACGUGCCAGCAGCCGCGGUAAUACGUAGGGUGCAAGCGUUAAUCAGAAUUACUGGGCGUAAAGCGUGCGCAGGCGGUUUUGUAAGACAGAGGUGAAAUCCCCGGGCUCAACCUGGGAACUGCCUUUGUGACUGC